RNAcentral lists this ribosomal RNA (587 nucleotides) under uncultured bacterium. Its description in RNAcentral is "bacterial SSU rRNA". It matches the Rfam family "Bacterial small subunit ribosomal RNA", at positions 338 to 916 of the family's 1533-position model. The record is from RNAcentral.
CCUACGGGGGGCGGCAGUGGGGAAUCUUGCGCAAUGCGCGAAAGCGUGACGCAGCAACGCCGCGUGGGGGAAGACGGCUUUCGGGUUGUAAACCCCUUUCAGGAGGGACGAAGCCAGAGCGGUUAAUAGCCGACUCGGGUGACGGUACCUCCAGAAGAAGCCCCGGCUAACUACGUGCCAGCAGCCGCGGUAAUACGUAGGGGGCAAGCGUUGUCCGGAAUCAUUGGGCGUAAAGAGCGUGUAGGCGGUCCGAUAAGUCGGCUGUGAAAGUCCAGGGCUCAACCCUGGGAUGCCGGUCGAUACUGUCGGACUAGAGUCCGGAAGAGGCAAGUGGAAUUCCCGGUGUAGCGGUGAAAUGCGCAGAUAUCGGGAGGAACACCAAUGGCGAAGGCAGCUUGCUGGGACGGUACUGACGCUGAGACGCGAAAGCGUGGGGAGCAAACAGGAUUAGAUACCCUGGUAGUCCACGCCGUAAACGAUGGGCACUAGGUGUGGGAGGUGUCGACUCCUCCCGUGCCGGAGCUAACGCAUUAAGUGCCCCGCCUGGGGAGUACGGCCGCAAGGCUAAAACUCAAAGGAAUUGACGG